This is a long non-coding RNA of Hippoglossus stenolepis (Pacific halibut), 77 nucleotides long. RefSeq lists it as uncharacterized. The record is from RefSeq and is a predicted model, not a curated record. NCBI's taxonomy places the organism in Eukaryota, Metazoa, Chordata, Actinopteri, Pleuronectiformes, Pleuronectidae. The transcript has 2 exons.
GACCACGCAUACAUGGAUAGUGUCCUCAAAAGAACGAUGUGUGCUCCAGAAAAUAAACUCUUUUUUUAAAAGUUCAA